UGACCGCAAACCGACACAGGUGGAUGAGGAGAGAAUCCUAAGGCGAGCGGGAGAAGCGUUGUUAAGGAACUCGGCAAAUUGACCCCGUAAGUUCGCGAGAAGGGGUGCCUUCAGAGGAGCAAUCCGAUGGAGGCCGCAGAGAAAUGGCCCAAGCAACUGUUUAUCAAAAACACAGGUCUCUGCUAAAUCGUAAGAUGAAGUAUAGGGGCUGACGCCUGCCGGGUGCUGGAAGGUUACGGGGAUUAGUAAGCGCAAGCGAAGCAAUGAACUUAAGCCCCAGUAAACGGCGGCCGUAACAAUAACGGUCCUAAGGUAGCGAAAUUCCUUGUCAGGUAAGUUCUGACCCGCACGAAUGGCGUAAUGAUUUGGGCACUGUCUCGACAACGCACCCGGUGAAAUUGUAGUACUCGUGAAGAUGCGAGUUACCCGCGACUAGACGGAAAGACCCCAUGGAGCUUUACUGUAGCCUGAUACUGUAUUUCGAUAUCUCAUGUACAGGAUAGGAGGGAGGCGGAGAAGCCAGGACGCCAGUCUUGGUGGAGCCAACGUUGGGAUACCUCUCUUGAGAUAUUGGAAUACUAACCAGAGGCCAUGAACUGGUCUUGGGACAAUGUCAGGUGGGCAGUUUGACUGGGGCGGUCGCCUCCAAAAGAGUAACGGAGGCGCCCAAAGGUUACCUCAGCACGGUUGGAAAUCGUGCAACGAGUGCAAAGGCAUAAGGUAGCCUGACUGCGAGACAAACAAGUCGAGCAGAUACGAAAGUAGGGCUUAGUGAUCCGGCGGUAUGAGAGUGGAAUUGCCGUCGCUCAACGGAUAAAAGCUACCCUGGGAUAACAGGCUUAUCUCCCCCAAGAGUCCACAUCGACGGGGAGGUUUGGCACCUCGAUGUCGGCUCAUCGCAUCCUGGAGCUGAAUUCGGUUCCAAGGGUUUGGCUGUUCGCCAAUUAAAGCGGUACGCGAGCUGGGUUCAGAACGUCGUGAGACAGUUCGGUCCCUAUCUGUCGUGGGCGCAGGAUAUUUGAAGGGAGCUGUCCUUAGUACGAGAGGACCGGGAUGGACGAACCUCAGGUGCACCAGUUGUCACGCCAGUGGCAUGGCUGGGUAGCCAAGUUCGGCAGGGAUAAACGCUGAAGGCAUCUAAGCGUGAAGCCCCCCCUAAGAUGAGAUAUCCCACCGCAAGGGUAAGACCCCAUGUAGACCACAUGGUUGAUAGGUCAGGAGUGAAAGUGCAGCAAUGCAUGGAGCUGACUGAUACUAAUCGGUCGAGGGCUUGACC
This 1276-nucleotide ribosomal RNA is filed under the name metagenome. Its description in RNAcentral is "bacterial LSU rRNA". It matches the Rfam family "Bacterial large subunit ribosomal RNA", at positions 1644 to 2925 of the family's 2925-position model. The record is from RNAcentral.